Macrobrachium nipponense is the source of this 297-nucleotide long non-coding RNA. RefSeq lists it as uncharacterized. NCBI's taxonomy places the organism in Eukaryota, Metazoa, Arthropoda, Malacostraca, Decapoda, Palaemonidae. The transcript has 2 exons. The record is from RefSeq and is a predicted model, not a curated record.
CUGUCAUGUUCUUCGUCCUCUCGCUGACUUCUACAUCAAGGCCUACAGGAAGGGACUAAAGAAAGGAGCUGCAAAAUCCAAGGGUCUGGAAAUCGGGACAUCUGCUGGAGCGUCCAACGGCAUCGGAACGAAGCUCCCCAACGGAAGCGUUGCGACGAAACCGGAGUGAAGUUGGCCAACGGCUUCGGCGAGGGAACUUCGCUGAAGUACAGAGCUCAAACAUAGAUGGCACCACUGUGCAAUGCUCAGCCCACUGAUGCGACCCCCACCCCCCCCCCCCCCACCCCCCCCCCCCCC